Long non-coding RNA from Callorhinus ursinus (northern fur seal), 648 nucleotides. RefSeq lists it as uncharacterized. Lineage: Eukaryota; Metazoa; Chordata; Mammalia; Carnivora; Otariidae. The record is from RefSeq and is a predicted model, not a curated record.
CUUAUAGCAAGUCCUGCCUUUAAGAAAUUAACAUUACACUGAAGGCUUCUACUUCCAUAAUUUGGGAGAAUAAGCAUUCUAUGGUUAUUGAGAAGCAGCAAGCAAUAGUGAAGAGAUAUAGAAGUAAUUGGGUUCUGAGUACUUUGUCAUAGAGCUCAGUAUCUGCAUGGAAAUAUAAUAAAAGGGCCGAAAAAGGGUAUCCAAUGGCAUUUCAGACAUGAGUAGUCAUCAUAACUUCAUACUCUCUCUGUGGCAUUUCACCUGCCAAAGAUCUCCUUGGGACCAGAUUCCAUUCUCAGCUUGUGACCAAGAUAAAGUUACCAUAUAACUAAUCUUUUUGGAAUGGGAAGUCAAGGACCAGAUAAAAUUAAAUGCCUUUGACACUAUCACCCAAGAGACCAGUGCUUCAUUACUGAUGAGAUGAUGUGCAGUUCAUCACAGAGCAAUGUCACUAAUGAGCCUUCUAAACAACCAGAACCACACUUUUUAAUAAGGAUUGGAAAAUGAGAACUACGAUGUCUUGCCUGUUAGAGAAAAAAAGGAGUGUGAGAGAUAUACAAAGUCCUGCCUCAUGUAAAUUGGUAUUUGCCUUUUCAAAUGACAUGUUUGUUAGUCAAGUAUACAAAGAUGUCUUAGGCAGGUACUGGG